Molecule: transfer RNA, 72 nt
Filed under: Crassvirales sp.
Lineage: Duplodnaviria; Heunggongvirae; Uroviricota; Caudoviricetes; Crassvirales
Description: tRNA-Arg
Rfam family: tRNA
About the family: Transfer RNA (tRNA) molecules are approximately 80 nucleotides in length. Their secondary structure includes four short double-helical elements and three loops (D, anti-codon, and T loops).
Source: RNAcentral
GCCCCUAUAGUUCAAUGGAUAGAACAAAAGAUUUCUACUCUUUAAAUGAGGGUUCAAUUCCUUCUGGGGGUA